Molecule: long non-coding RNA, 202 nt
Filed under: Gossypium raimondii (Peruvian cotton)
Lineage: Eukaryota; Viridiplantae; Streptophyta; Magnoliopsida; Malvales; Malvaceae
Description: long non-coding RNA (GRAI_LNC000531)
Source: RNAcentral
AUACGAGAAGGCCACGACGACCACCAACACAUCUAAGGUUUGGCAAGGCAGGUCCAUCGUCUGUACCUAUGCAAGAGCUGACAAUGAUGCCUACACCACCCUCUGGUUAAUAUGUAUCGUCUUAUUCUAGUGCAUAUGCGAACCCUAUCAUUUUCACACAAGCACCAUAUAUUCCACCACAUUUUUUUGCUUCUACUUCGAU